Macaca mulatta (Rhesus monkey) is the source of this 2278-nucleotide long non-coding RNA. The record is from Ensembl. NCBI's taxonomy places the organism in Eukaryota, Metazoa, Chordata, Mammalia, Primates, Cercopithecidae.
AUGAAAGAACUGCUUUUUUUUUCCUAUUUUUCUUUUUGUAUGUGUGUUAUAGAUGGAUCUGAGAACGCUGUCUGGGCUUGGUGCCAAGGGCUGGUAUUUCACAGCAGCGACCGCCUCACAGACGAGCUGUGGGAAGCAGGAGGGAGACUCUCUCUUAGGGUGCCACUACUAUGGAGACACAGCUGGGCUGAACAAGAUUUGCUUCAAACGACAACAAGAGAGACAGAAAGUAUCUGGUUCAACCGCUGCCCGAGCAGGCAGGCACCAGAAGAGCUAGCAGCCAAUCCGGCCAUGCUCGAAGCCAGCUCUGCAGCUCAGCCAAUCAGUGACAUCACUGAGGACUGUUUUUCUUCAAUCCUUAAGGAUUCAGCUUCUUACAUGGGUUUUGCCGGAGGUCAUGGGGAAGUACCAAGAGGUCUAAAUCAUGCUGGUUAAAUCAUCAUUUGAAACAGAGCUGCAAGACUAACAUAUGGACGACAGGAGAGUAAUAGAUGUGUCAUACACCAAAAACAGAAAGAUCCAUUACCUCAAAUGUAAACUUGUGAGAGGCAAGGAGAAUACACAAAAUAGGAUGUCUGGAAGCCUUUUUGAGACUGUAUCACUAUCCAUCUAGAAAAAUGCUAUAGGUAAAUAAAAUAUGUCCUUACUGAAUAAUAAGUAUAAUAUGUGCAAUUUAUCCUCAUUACAAAGAGAUUUUAUUGUGUCUGAAGAAUUCCAUGGAGAACCAUUAUGGAUCCAUUAUAGCAUUUUUAGUGAUCUGCUCCGCUUCCCAAACCGUGGUUCUUUUGUACAGUAUCAGACAUAUAAUGUGCAUUUCUAUUUUCUGCCUGCUCCACAUUCUGUGUGCUUACAAAUAAUUAGGCAGGAGGGGUUUUGAUGCCUUGUUGGCCACUUCUUAAAAGCACAAUAUAAUUUAUUGGGACAAAAUAUAGUAAUGCACUUUAAGGAAAGUUCUCUUAUGUAAAAGCUCAAUCUCGAAUUAAGGGUAAAGUUUUAAUCACAAGAAUUGACACAUUUCCAAUAGGAAAGGUUUCAUAGUUGCAGUAUUUUAUUAUGAUAACUGAAUUUUAUAAGAAUGGCACCAUUUACUUCUAUGAAAGUUUAUUCUCCUUCUUCUGACCUGGGGCUUUAUUAGCUUCCCAGUAUUUCCCCACUCUUCCACAUGGAAUUCUUGGCCCGGCCCCAACUUACAUUUUUACUUCUUUUAUAUAUGAUUACUUUUGCACAUAAGCAUUGUCUUCCACUCAACCUCCAUCUUUUCAAGAAUACAUGUGGUCCUUCACUUCCUUGGAUACACACUUGUACUUUCUCCACUUUUCCUACUGCUCCAAUUUUUUUUCCUGUUCUAAAGGUCUGUAAAUAUUUUCCCAUCUCUGUAACACUUUUUGUGGAUGUGUGGGUCUUUUUCUUUCAAAUAAGGUGCACAUCUGCUGUGCUGAACUGCUCAUCCAUCUGCAGAGCAGAAAGGGAGGGUACACCUGUUGAAUAUCCAGAGUUCUCCAUGGAUUUUUCUAGAUGCUCUAUAUUAUGUACCUCAUUUACUUCGCUUAACAACCAGGCAAUGAAGAACUAGCAUGCCUGUUGUAUGGAUGAAAAAACCGAGGCUUAAUACAUCCAAGCAGCUUUUCCCAAGUUCCUUUGGUGGAAAGCAAAAGAGGAUAGAUUCAAAUCCAUCUUUUUCACCAAAACCUGUGUGUGUUUGUUUUUCAACUUUCCCUAUGUGUGUGUCUAUUUCAUUUUCCCAUCUCCUGAUUGCAAGGACUCUAUCAUGGGCAAUUUAAUCUUUUAGGUAGCUGUCACGUAUCUCAAUUCUGCAUUUACCGCCUUGUGUAACUCAGGUGCAACAUUUUUCUUCACAAGGUUUUUUCCAUUUUUACUUAUUAAAAUGAUUUGGAUAUUCAUAAGUAGAGCUAGGUAUAUUUUUCCUUGCUAGUAAAAAAAAAUAGUCAUGUAACUAAUGAAAGCUCUUUCAAGUUGGUCUAUAUUUUCAAGUUGGUCAAGAACAUAAAAGAACAUAAAAGAGUUUUUUAUGUUUUCCAAGUUUGAUUUCUAUUAACUUUAUUCUGUGUAUGAUUAUUAAUGUUUCUCAGUUUAUACAGUUUUGUGUUCUCUUAGAGGAUAAUACCCACUUUUCACAGACUAUUUAAAUCUUCACUGGGAAAAAAUAUCAAAAUUUAUAAAUUAUAUGAAUAUAUUUAAUUAGCACAUGUGCCCCCAAACUAUGUACAUCUAUUAUACAGCAAUUUUAAAAUUUUAAAUAAAAGGUAAAUGUAAAAAA